GUGCUGACCCGCGUCCCUUUCAGUGCAUCAUCGAGGAGUCGGGAGAGCACAUCAUCGCGGGCGCCGGCGAGCUGCACCUGGAGAUCUGCCUGAAGGACCUGGAGGAGGACCACGCCUGCAUCCCCAUCAAGAAAUCUGACCCGGUCGUCUCGUACCGCGAGACGGUCAGUGAAGAGUCGAACGUGCUCUGCCUCUCCAAGUCCCCCAACAAGCACAAC
Molecule: small RNA, 218 nt
Filed under: Pan troglodytes (chimpanzee)
Lineage: Eukaryota; Metazoa; Chordata; Mammalia; Primates; Hominidae
Description: retained intron
Source: RNAcentral